Molecule: ribosomal RNA, 336 nt
Filed under: Mystrium voeltzkowi
Lineage: Eukaryota; Metazoa; Arthropoda; Insecta; Hymenoptera; Formicidae
Description: SSU rRNA
Rfam family: Eukaryotic small subunit ribosomal RNA
Source: RNAcentral
GAAUGGCUCAUUANAUCAGUUAUGGUUCAUUAGAUUGUACCCACAUUUACUUGGAUAACUGUGGUAAUUCUAGAGCUAAUACAUGCAACACAGAGUCCCGACCAGUGAUGGGAGGGACGCUUUUAUUAGAUCAAAACCAAUCGGUGGCGGGUAGGNUCGCCCAUCCGUCCAUCGUUUAUUUUGGUGACUCUGAAUAACUUUGUGCUGAUCGCACGGUCCUAGCACCGGCGACGCAUCUUUCAAAUGUCUGCCUUAUCAACUGUCGAUGGUAGGUUCUGCGCCUACCAUGGUUGUAACGGGUAACGGGGAAUCAGGGUUCGAUUCCGGAGAGGGAGC